AAGGAAAAAUGAAAAUUAGGAAGCUGCUAACUAUCUUUAAUAGGCGGUUAAAUUCCGUUAUUUCCUUA
This 68-nucleotide transfer RNA is filed under the name Paphnutius ruficeps. Its description in RNAcentral is "tRNA-Ser". The record is from RNAcentral. Lineage: Eukaryota; Metazoa; Arthropoda; Insecta; Hemiptera; Cercopidae.